CGAUGAUACGCGAGGAACUUACCUGGGCUUAAAUGUAGAGUGCAUUUUUAGAGAUAGAAAUUCCCUUCGGGGCUUUCUGCAAGGUGCUGCAUGGUUGUCGUCAGCUCGUGCCGUGAGGUGUCGGGUUAAGUCCCAUAACGAGCGCAACCCUUAUCGUUAGUUGCCAUCUGGUAAUGCAGGGGACUCUAGCGAACUGCCACCGUAAGGUGAGAGGAAGGUGGGAUGACGUCAAAUCAGCACGGCCCUUAUGUCCAGGGCUACACACGUGUUACAAUGGUCGGUACAGAGGGCAGCUACCUGGUGACAGGAUGCUAAUCUCGAAAACCGGUCUCAGUUCGGAUCGAAGUCUGCAACUCGACUUCGUGAAGCUGGAUUCGCUAGUAAUCGCGCAUCAGCUAUGGCGCGGUGAAUACGUUCCCGGGCCUU
This 426-nucleotide ribosomal RNA is filed under the name uncultured Sphingobacteriales bacterium. RNAcentral's name for it is "bacterial SSU rRNA". It matches the Rfam family "Bacterial small subunit ribosomal RNA", at positions 952 to 1382 of the family's 1533-position model. The record is from RNAcentral. Lineage: Bacteria; Pseudomonadati; Bacteroidota; Sphingobacteriia; Sphingobacteriales.